CGAGGAUCCAUUGGAGGGCAAGUCUGGUGCCAGCAGCUGCGGUAAUUCCAGCUCCAAUAGCGUAUAUUAAAGUUGUUGCGGUUAAAAAGCUCGUAGUUGGAUCUCAGCAGGGGACGGGGGGGUCCGCCUACCGGCGUUCCAUCCCCCGCUUUCCGGCAUUCGGCCGGUUUCUCCGGGAUGAUCUUCACCGGUCGUCCGGGGUGACCGGCGAGUUUACUUUGAAAAAAUUAGAGUGCUUAGAGCAGGCGCGACGCCUGGAUAAUGGUGCAUGGAAUAAUGGAAUAGGACCUCGGUUCUGUUUUGUUGGUUUUCGGAACCCGAGGUAAUGAUUAAGAGGGACAGACGGGGGCAUUCGUAUUGCGACGCUAGAGGUGAAAUUCUUGGACCGUCGCAAGACGAACCACUGCGAAAGCAUUUGCCAAGAAUGUUUCCAUUAACCAAGAACGAAAGUUAGAGGUUCGAAGGCGAUCAGAUACCGCCCUAGUUCUAACCAUAAACGAUGCCAGCCAGCGAUCCGGCUGUGUUCCU
RNAcentral lists this ribosomal RNA (528 nucleotides) under Herennia multipuncta. Its description in RNAcentral is "SSU rRNA". It matches the Rfam family "Eukaryotic small subunit ribosomal RNA", at positions 538 to 1067 of the family's 1831-position model. The record is from RNAcentral. Lineage: Eukaryota; Metazoa; Arthropoda; Arachnida; Araneae; Nephilidae.